This 400-nucleotide ribosomal RNA is filed under the name uncultured bacterium. Its description in RNAcentral is "bacterial SSU rRNA". It matches the Rfam family "Bacterial small subunit ribosomal RNA", at positions 355 to 747 of the family's 1533-position model. The record is from RNAcentral.
UGGGGAAUUUUGGACAAUGGGGGAAACCCUGAUCCAGCCAUGCCGCGUGUCUGAAGAAGGCCUUCGGGUUGUAAAGGACUUUUGUCCGGGAGGAAACCCUGGUCGUGAACAACGACCGGGACUGACAGUACCGGAAGAAUAAGCACCGGCUAACUACGUGCCAGCAGCCGCGGUAAUACGUAGGGUGCAAGCGUUAAUCGGAAUUACUGGGCGUAAAGCGUGCGCAGGCGGUGGGACAAGUCAGCUGUGAAAGCCCCGGGCUCAACCUGGGAACUGCGGUUGAAACUGUCUCGCUAGAGUACGUCAGAGGGGGGUGGAAUUCCACGUGUAGCAGUGAAAUGCGUAGAGAUGUGGAGGAACACCAAUGGCGAAGGCAGCCCCCUGGGAUGAUACUGACGCU